CUCUGACUUUUCUCUACUUUUCCACCACUUCCCACUGUUGAAAUUUCAAAUAGGUAGUGUGCUUUCGUUCACGGAGUUGAGAGCUUCCCAUUCAUCCGAUUAAAAUUCUGCUUUGGACGGAUGAAGAGGAGGUGUCUGUGGAGCAAGCGCUGGAAGAAGGUGAUGCUGCAGCUUAGUAUGUCUAGGAUAUUGAUUAGUAGUAUUAUUCUGAUGAUAAUUCACAGUGGUCCUUUAUGUUUAAGAGACCAACUCUGAUUUUAUUUUGGAUGACUGUAA
Molecule: small RNA, 276 nt
Filed under: Vigna angularis var. angularis
Lineage: Eukaryota; Viridiplantae; Streptophyta; Magnoliopsida; Fabales; Fabaceae
Description: Non-protein coding transcript
Source: RNAcentral